RNAcentral lists this ribosomal RNA (321 nucleotides) under Charterginus fulvus. Its description in RNAcentral is "partial 12S ribosomal RNA". Lineage: Eukaryota; Metazoa; Arthropoda; Insecta; Hymenoptera; Vespidae. The record is from RNAcentral.
AGAUAUUAAAUGUUAAAUCAUUAAAUUUAGGAGAUUUGGCGGUAUUUUAUGAAAUUAGAGGAACCUGUAUAUUAAUUGAUAUUCCACGAUAAGAAAAACUUAAUAUAAAAAUUUAUGUAUUGCUGUUUAAAGAUUAUUAUUAAUUAAAUUUUCGAGUUUUUAAAUUUUAAUUUAAUUCAAGUCAAAAUAUAGUUUAUUUAAGAUAAAUAUGGGUUACAAUUAUUUAAUAAUAAUGGAAAAAUAUUAUUUAAUUUUAUUUUGAAAUUGGAUUUAAUAGUAAAUUUAAUUAAUUAAUUAGUUUGAAUUAAAUUUAAAAUAAGU